RNAcentral lists this ribosomal RNA (783 nucleotides) under uncultured bacterium. Its description in RNAcentral is "bacterial SSU rRNA". It matches the Rfam family "Bacterial small subunit ribosomal RNA", at positions 84 to 869 of the family's 1533-position model. The record is from RNAcentral.
GUUGAUGGCGACCGGCGCACGGGUGAGUAACACGUAUCCAACCUACCGGUUAUUCCGGGAUAGCCUUUCGAAAGAAAGAUUAAUACCGGAUAGUAUAACGAGAAGGCAUCUUCUUGUUAUUAAAGAAUUUCGAUAACCGAUGGGGAUGCGUUCCAUUAGUUUGUUGGCGGGGUAACGGCCCACCAAGACAUCGAUGGAUAGGGGUUCUGAGAGGAAGGUCCCCCACAUUGGAACUGAGACACGGUCCAAACUCCUACGGGAGGCAGCAGUGAGGAAUAUUGGUCAAUGGACGAGAGUCUGAACCAGCCAAGUAGCGUGAAGGAUGACUGCCCUAUGGGUUGUAAACUUCUUUUAUAUGGGAAUAAAGUGAGCCACGUGUGGCUUUUUGUAUGUACCAUACGAAUAAGGAUCGGCUAACUCCGUGCCAGCAGCCGCGGUAAUACGGAGGAUCCGAGCGUUAUCCGGAUUUAUUGGGUUUAAAGGGAGCGUAGGCGGACUAUUAAGUCAGCUGUGAAAGUUUGCGGCUCAACCGUAAAAUUGCAGUUGAUACUGGUCGUCUUGAGUGCAGUAGAGGUAGGCGGAAUUCGUGGUGUAGCGGUGAAAUGCUUAGAUAUCACGAAGAACUCCGAUUGCGAAGGCAGCUUACUGGACUGUAACUGACGCUGAUGCUCGAAAGUGUGGGUAUCAAACAGGAUUAGAUACCCUGGUAGUCCACACAGUAAACGAUGAAUACUCGCUGUUUGCGAUAUACGGCAAGCGGCCAAGCGAAAGCAUUAAGUAUUC